CCUACGGGUGGCAGCAGUGGGGAAUAUUGGGCAAUGGGCGCAAGCCUGACCCAGCAACGCCGCGUGAAGGAAGAAGGCUCUCGGGUUGUAAACUUCUUUUAUCAGGGACGAAGCAAGUGACGGUACCUGAUGAAUAAGCCACGGCUAACUACGUGCCAGCAGCCGCGGUAAUACGUAGGUGGCAAGCGUUAUCCGGAUUUACUGUGUGUAAAGGGCGUGUAGGCGGGAAAGCAAGUCAGAUGUGAAACCCAUGGGCUCAACCUGUGGCCUGCAUUUGAAACUGUUUUUCUUGAGUACUGGAGAGGCAGACGGAAUUCCUAGUGUAGCGGUGACAGGCGUAGAUAUUAGGAGGAACACCAGUGGCGAAGGCGGUCUGCUGGACAGCAACUGACGCUGAGGCGCGAAAGCGUGGGGAGCAAACAGGAUUAGAUACCCGGGUAGUC
RNAcentral lists this ribosomal RNA (443 nucleotides) under uncultured bacterium. RNAcentral's name for it is "partial 16S ribosomal RNA". It matches the Rfam family "Bacterial small subunit ribosomal RNA", at positions 338 to 795 of the family's 1533-position model. The record is from RNAcentral.